ACCUCUGGAAGAGCAGUCAGCGCUCCUAGUUGCUGAGCCAUCUUUGUAUAUAGACAGAUAAAUGCUUGUCUUGUAGAGUUAAAAUACGAAGCCGGGUAGUUGCUGGGGAAAGAGAGUGAAAAGCCUGCUAAUCUGUCUUCUAUAGCAGAGGCCCCAGGGGGUGGGUUGUUGUUUGUUUGUUUGCUUCCUUUUGUUUGUUUGUUUCCAUGCCUACAAUCAGCCAAUGAGUGGUCCUGUUGCUCCAGCCCUCCACAGCACUGGCUGCUAUUAGAGUUCCUGAUCAUUUGCAAAGCAUCAAUGGCAGAGGUAAAGAAUAAAUCCUAUCGGUCCAUUUCCACCAUGAGAUGUGUUUAGAGCUCACUGGAGAAUCACAAAGAAGCAGGAGGCGGUAGCUUCCUGUCUUCCCUCGCUGGAGGAUGGAGCUUGCUCAUUGACGCCGUCUCAAUUCAUCCUGGGGUUUGCAAAGUUCCAGUCAGUCUGCUGUGUUGCUGAGCCCAUGUAUCAGAAAGAGAGGGAAUCUCAGGCUCCAGGAUGUACUUUAGGGGUUGGGAGUAUGCUGACUGGGAGAGUGCUUACCCAGCAUGCACUGAGCCCUGGGCGUGGUCCUCAGCAGUAAAUACAGGAGGUGUGGUGAGUAUGCCUGUCACACUAGCACUCAGGAAAAUGGAAGCAGAUAAAUCAGGUCAAGAUUAUCUUUGGCUGCAUAGGGAAGCUGAGGCCAGCCUGGGCUACAUGAGGUCUGUUUUUUGGGGGUUUUUUGUUUGUUUAUUUUUGUUUCUUAAAGAAGAAAGCAGAGAAAGGCCUUCCUACUGACGAAGCAUUUGCCACAUAGGCCCCUUUCAGCACCUUCUUUUUCACUUCCCACUUCCUUCUUGGCACUCAGCUGUUCUAGGUAGAAUGAGGGUUGGAGAGAGAAAGCCAGGUUCUGAUGAGCAAUGGGGGUUUCUCUUCCUCCCUGCCUUCUUGGCAGGGUUAUUGAGUAUCCAGUGAGUACAGGGCCUGGAGCUGAUGUGGGGAUCAGAAAAGAUAUCUCCUCAUGCUAGAGGCAACACAGAGCAGGCCACAAGGGAGGUCUCCAAGGGAGGAGGAUUUAGGUUGCGACUUGGAGGAACCGGGGAGGUGGCUCAGUAGUAGAAGCUCUGAGGCAAGCAGCAGGCACGAGGACCAGAGUUUGGAUUCCCAGAGCCCAUGUAAACGAAGGAUGAGCCUAUCUGUCCUGAUAUUCAGAAAGUAGAGACAGGAAAUGCCCCAGAGAAAGAUGCAGGCUAGGCAAGGCUGUACCAGUGAGCCCUGGGUUCACGUGAGAGGCCCCACCUUGACAGAAAAAAUGGAGAGUAACAGAGGGAGAGGCCCAAUAUCCUUAGCCCUCCACAUGCAAGUGUCGAAGGGCUGACAGGGCCUUCUGCAGCCUUGGCCAUCUCUGCAAGGACAUCCGAGGUGAUCAGCUGGGAAGGAACCUACAUCAUGGCCCUCCAUAGCUAUCUCAGGAAGAAGGAAAUCUUCAAGAAGAACAGGGGCAAACCUUGGUGAGUCAGCUCUGCACUCAGUGCUUCCUCGUAUCCCCCCAGGAUCCUGCGCAUUGCCUUCUGAGCCCAUUCUCUCUUGUGUUAAACAGUGGUAUCUUGACAGAUGAAGCUUGGAGAGGCUGAGGGACAAGUCCAAGGGGCUGCAGGAAAGGAACGGUCCUGGUCCAGAUGAGAAGGAGAGCAGGCCAAGGAGGCAGCACCAUCAACAGGCGGCCCAGCCCCCUGACUCCACUUUGUGGAAGAUCAGAAGGCUGAGGUUCAGAGCCAUCAUAAUUUGUUGAAGGUCACACAGCAAAUGGACAGAGAGCAGCUGGUCAGAAUGAGGCCUCUGAGCUUCAGCUGAUGUCUUCCACCCCCCAGAAAUGAGGUGCAGGGGGUCACCUGGUUCUCAAGAUAAGGAGUAGCUGCCAGGCACAGUGGCUCACAGCCAUAAGCCCAACAGGUCUCAGGCCAGCCUGGACUGCACAUCAGGACCUUGGCUCAAAAUAACAGAGGAAAUGAAAAAAAUACAGACUUGCCUAGCAGAGUCCUGUUCAGUAUGGGUUAUAGUUGGACCCAGAGAACUUACUAAGCAAAGAGCAAUUGUUGGUGACAAUGGGUUAAUCCAUAGACAAUGUCUGUGCUUGUCCCAGGCUCAGGGGGACAGACUGGCCCUGCCUGAGCCCCUUCCAGCACAAGAUCAUGAUUCCCAGAAUACCAAGAGAAUGGAUGGCCAUCAGCCUCAGUGAAGCUCUCUAAGUCUCCUUGUCUUCUAUCAGCUCCCACCGUGAUGCAAGCCAGGGAAGGUGUGGGGCAAUUUAUUGCUUUAUCAAUAUUUAAUAUCUCCAGGGAGGUGACAUCAGCAAAAUUGCCUGGCCUUACAGAACCAUCUAGAUAGACAGUGGGACAGGCCCUUCAUCUCUCUGAAUGCCCAGUCCUCCCCACAUGGGGGACAGAUAAGAUUUAUAGACGCCUGUAAGAGGUAUAAUGUUGUAGAGGUUGGCCUCUUGAGCUAGUCAGGGGACCUGCUACCCAGGACCCCCACAAUCCCUCCCCCCUCUGCUUGUCACUUGGUCUAGUAGCAUGCAAGCCAGGUGGCUAUGCCACAGGAUUGAGGUCUAGGUCCUUGGCUGUUCUGGGACAUCAGUGAAGGGAGGCAGGGUGUCGGUAGUGCUGUGUGCUGAUCAACCCUUUAGAUGGAGGACACCAGGGAUAGUAGCCCUGGAUCCCUAGCCUCUACUCUCCCUGGGGCUCAGCUUCCCCUUCUGGAGAAUAUUCUGAGACACAGGCGAUGCUUCUCACUAGCUCUGGAGGGCAGACACCAGGCCACCUAAGGUGGCCAGCCCUCUGCUCUGCCCAGGAGAAUAAGGGAGGCCCAGAGGCAUGAUGGAAACAAGUCGUUGGAAGCUGGAGUGAGGGAAAAGAAAUGCAGAGAGGGAGCCUUGUGUUGUUUGUGUCUCUGGGGUCUCAGAGUUCCCAUUGCUAUUAUCUGGGGACACUGUGGUGGUUUGAAUAUGCUUAGCCCAGCGAGUGG
RNAcentral lists this small RNA (3039 nucleotides) under Rattus norvegicus (Norway rat). RNAcentral's name for it is "uncharacterized LOC102555625". The record is from RNAcentral. Lineage: Eukaryota; Metazoa; Chordata; Mammalia; Rodentia; Muridae.